RNAcentral lists this unclassified non-coding RNA (230 nucleotides) under Hevea brasiliensis (rubber tree). The record is from RNAcentral. Lineage: Eukaryota; Viridiplantae; Streptophyta; Magnoliopsida; Malpighiales; Euphorbiaceae.
UUUUUCCUUUAAGUCGCUCUUAAAUUGCCCUAAAUCGCUUCUAAAUCGUCCUUCAAAUUGUCUUGAACCGUUAUUUUUUGAACUAUCCUUUAAAUCGUUUUAAAUCUAAACUCGAAUCAAAACCGGCGAUUCAAAAAUCGUCUUUCAAAUCGUACAAUAACAAUUUAAUUCAAGUUCAUAAUUUUAUUGAAUCUGAACCACGAUUCAAAAAUCGUAAUUGACGAUUCCUG